This 282-nucleotide non-coding RNA is filed under the name Polytomella parva. Lineage: Eukaryota; Viridiplantae; Chlorophyta; Chlorophyceae; Chlamydomonadales; Chlamydomonadaceae. The record is from RNAcentral.
AGGAGAAAAAUUCGAGGAGGAUCAGGGACGAGGAAGUAGGGCAUGCGCCGGAGGAGGGGAGGGAGACGAGGGAAGAGAAGAGGGAGGAGGGGGAGGCAAGGAGCGAAGAGAAUACCCAGGAGGAGGAGGAAGAGCCAGAGGAGAAGAAAAACGAAAAAGAAGAGGAAGAAGAGAAAGAAGAGAAAAAAGAGGAAAAAAUAAAGCUAAAGGAGGAAACGAAGCAGCAAGAGGAAGAAGAAAAAGAACAGGGGCAAAAAAGGGAAAGAAUCAAAGGAAAGGCUC